RNAcentral lists this ribosomal RNA (147 nucleotides) under Schismatoclada marojejyensis. RNAcentral's name for it is "5.8S ribosomal RNA". It matches the Rfam family "5.8S ribosomal RNA", at positions 1 to 137 of the family's 154-position model. Rfam says of the family: 5.8S ribosomal RNA (5.8S rRNA) is a component of the large subunit of the eukaryotic ribosome. It is transcribed by RNA polymerase I as part of the 45S precursor that also contains 18S and 28S rRNA. Functionally, it is thought that 5.8S rRNA may be involved in ribosome translocation. The record is from RNAcentral. Lineage: Eukaryota; Viridiplantae; Streptophyta; Magnoliopsida; Gentianales; Rubiaceae.
ACCGAAACGACUCUCGGCAACGGAUAUCUAGGCUCUCGCAUCGAUGAAGAACGUAGCGAAAUGCGAUACUUGGUGUGAAUUGCAAAAUCCCGUGAACCAUCGAGUUUUUGAACGCAAGUUGCGCCCGAAGCCAUUAGGCUGAGGGCA